CAUAGGUUAAUGAGGCGAACCGGGGGAACUGAAACAUCUAAGUACCCCGAGGAAAAGAAAUCAACCGAGAUUCCCCCAGUAGCGGCGAGCGAACGGGGAGGAGCCCAGAGCCUGAAUCAGUGUGUGUGUUAGUGGAAGCGUCUGGAAAGGCGCGCGAUACAGGGUGACAGCCCCGUACACAAAAAUGCACAUAUUGUGAGCUCGAUGAGUAGGGCGGGACACGUGGUAUCCUGUCUGAAUAUGGGGGGACCAUCCUCCAAGGCUAAAUACUCCUGACUGACCGAUAGUGAACCAGUACCGUGAGGGAAAGGCGAAAAGAACCCCGGCGAGGGGAGUGAAAAAGAACCUGAAACCGUGUACGUACAAGCAGUGGGAGCCUCUUAAUGGGGUGACU
This 394-nucleotide ribosomal RNA is filed under the name Escherichia coli. RNAcentral's name for it is "partial 23S ribosomal RNA". It matches the Rfam family "Bacterial large subunit ribosomal RNA", at positions 165 to 598 of the family's 2925-position model. Lineage: Bacteria; Pseudomonadati; Pseudomonadota; Gammaproteobacteria; Enterobacterales; Enterobacteriaceae. The record is from RNAcentral.